RNAcentral lists this ribosomal RNA (486 nucleotides) under uncultured bacterium. RNAcentral describes it as "partial 16S ribosomal RNA". It matches the Rfam family "Bacterial small subunit ribosomal RNA", at positions 30 to 507 of the family's 1533-position model. The record is from RNAcentral.
AUUGAACGCUGGCGGCAUGCCUUACACAUGCAAGUCGAACGGCAGCACGGGUGCUUGCACCUGGUGGCGAGUGGCGAACGGGUGAGUAAUACAUCGGAACAUGUCCUGUAGUGGGGGAUAGCCCGGCGAAAGCCGGAUUAAUACCGCAUACGAUCUACGGAUGAAAGCGGGGGACCUUCGGGCCUCGCGCUAUCGGGUUGGCCGAUGGCUGAUUAGCUAGUUGGGGGGGUAAAGGCCUACCAAGGCGACGAUCAGUAGCUGGUCUGAGAGGACGACCAGCCACACUGGGACUGAGACACGGCCCAGACUCCUACGGGAGGCAGCAGUGGGGAAUUUUGGACAAUGGGCGAAAGCCUGAUCCAGCAAUGCCGCGUGUGUGAAGAAGGCCUUCGGGUUGUAAAGCACUUUUGUCCGGAAAGAAAUCCUUGGCUCUAAUACAGUCGGGGGAUGACGGUACCGGAAGAAUAAGCACCGGCUAACUACGUG